AUUAGACGAAUCAUCUGGAAAGAUGAAUCAAAGAAGGUAAUAAUCCUGUAGUCGAAAAUGUUGUCUCUCUUGAGUGGAUCCUGAGUACGACGGAGCACGUGAAAUUCCGUCGGAAUCUGGGAGGACCAUCUCCUAAGGCUAAAUACUCUCUAGUGACCGAUAGUGAACCAGUACCGUGAGGGAAAGGUGAAAAGCACCCCGGAAGGGGAGUGAAAUAGAACCUGAAACCGUGUGCUUACAAGUAGUCAGAGCCCGUUAAUGGGUGAUGGCGUGCCUUUUGUAGAAUGAACCGGCGAGUUACGAUUUGAUGCAAGGUUAAGCAGUAAAUGUGGAGCCGUAGCGAAAGCGAGUCUGAAUAGGGCGUUUAGUAUUUGGUCGUAGACCCGAAACCAGGUGAUCUACCCUUGGUCAGGUUGAAGUUCAGGUAACACUGAAUGGAGGACCGAACCGACUUACGUUGAAAAGUGAGCGGAUGAACUGAGGGUAGCGGAGAAAUUCCAAUCGAACCUGGAGAUAGCUGGUUCUCUCCGAAAUAGCUUUAGGGCUAGCCUCAAGUGAUGAUUAUUGGAGGUAGAGCACUGUUUGGACGAGGGGCCCCUCUCGGGUUACCGAAUUCAGACAAACUCCGAAUGCCAAUUAAUUUAACUUGGGAGUCAGAACAUGGGUGAUAAGGUCCGUGUUCGAAAGGGAAACAGCCCAGACCACCAGCUAAGGUCCCAAAAUAUAUGUUAAGUGGAAAAGGAUGUGGCGUUGCCCAGACAACUAGGAUGUUGGCUUAGAAGCAGCCAUCAUUUAAAGAGUGCGUAAUAGCUCACUAGUCGAGUGACACUGCGCCGAAAAUGUACCGGGGCUAAACAUAUUACCGAAGCUGUGGAUUGUCCUUUGGACAAUGGUAGGAGAGCGUUCUAAGGGCGUUGAAGCAUGAUCGUAAGGACAUGUGGAGCGCUUAGAAGUGAGAAUGCCGGUGUGAGUAGCGAAAGACGGGUGAGAAUCCCGUCCACCGAUUGACUAAGGUUUCCAGAGGAAGGCUCGUCCGCUCUGGGUUAGUCGGGUCCUAAGCUGAGGCCGACAGGCGUAGGCGAUGGAUAACAGGUUGAUAUUCCUGUACCACCUAUAAUCGUUUUAAUCGAUGGGGGGACGCAGUAGGAUAGGCGAAGCGUGCGAUUGGAUUGCACGUCUAAGCAGUAAGGCUGAGUAUUAGGCAAAUCCGGUACUCGUUAAGGCUGAGCUGUGAUGGGGAGAAGACAUUGAGUCUUCGAGUCGUUGAUUUCACACUGCCGAGAAAAGCCUCUAGAUAGAAAAUAGGUGCCCGUACCGCAAACCGACACAGGUAGUCAAGAUGAGAAUUCUAAGGUGAGCGAGCGAACUCUCGUUAAGGAACUCGGCAAAAUGACCCCGUAACUUCGGGAGAAGGGGUGCUCUUUAGGGUUAACGCCCAGAAGAGCCGCAGUGAAUAGGCCCAAGCGACUGUUUAUCAAAAACACAGGUCUCUGCUAAACCGUAAGGUGAUGUAUAGGGGCUGACGCCUGCCCGGUGCUGGAAGGUUAAGAGGAGUGGUUAGCUUCUGCGAAGCUACGAAUCGAAGCCCCAGUAAACGGCGGCCGUAACUAUAACGGUCCUAAGGUAGCGAAAUUCCUUGUCGGGUAAGUUCCGACCCGCACGAAAGGCGUAACGAUUUGGGCACUGUCUCAACGAGAGACUCGGUGAAAUCAUAGUACCUGUGAAGAUGCAGGUUACCCGCGACAGGACGGAAAGACCCCGUGGAGCUUUACUGUAGCCUGAUAUUGAAAUUCGGCACAGCUUGUACAGGAUAGGUAGGAGCCUUUGAAACGUGAGCGCUAGCUUACGUGGAGGCGCUGGUGGGAUACUACCCUAGCUGUGUUGGCUUUCUAACCCGCACCACUUAUCGUGGUGGGAGACAGUGUCAAGCGGGCAGUUUGACUGGGGCGGUCGCCUCCUAAAAGGUAACGGAGGCGCUCAAAGGUUCCCUCAGAAUGGUUGGAAAUCAUUCAUAGAGUGUAAAGGCAUAAGGGAGCUUGACUGCGAGACCUACAAGUCGAGCAGGGUCGAAAGACGGACUUAGUGAUCCGGUGGUUCCGCAUGGAAGGGCCAUCGCUCAACGGAUAAAAGCUACCCCGGGGAUAACAGGCUUAUCUCCCCCAAGAGUUCACAUCGACGGGGAGGUUUGGCACCUCGAUGUCGGCUCAUCGCAUCCUGGGGCUGUAGUCGGUCCCAAGGGUUGGGCUGUUCGCCCAUUAAAGCGGUACGCGAGCUGGGUUCAGAACGUCGUGAGACAGUUCGGUCCCUAUCCGUCGUGGGCGUAGGAAAUUUGAGAGGAGCUGUCCUUAGUACGAGAGGACCGGGAUGGACAUACCUCUGGUGUACCAGUUGUCGUGCCAACGGCAUAGCUGGGUAGCUAUGUGUGGACGGGAUAAGUGCUGAAAGCAUCUAAGCAUGAAGCCCCCCUCAAGAUGAGAUUUCCCAACUUCGGUUAUAAGAUCCCUCAAAGAUGAUGAGGUUAAUAGGUUCGAGGUGGAAGCAUGGUGACAUGUGGAGCUGACGAAUACUAAUCGAUCGAAGACUUAAUCAA
Molecule: ribosomal RNA, 2590 nt
Filed under: Staphylococcus aureus
Lineage: Bacteria; Bacillati; Bacillota; Bacilli; Caryophanales; Staphylococcaceae
Description: partial 23S ribosomal RNA
Rfam family: Bacterial large subunit ribosomal RNA
Source: RNAcentral